RNAcentral lists this ribosomal RNA (447 nucleotides) under uncultured bacterium. RNAcentral describes it as "bacterial SSU rRNA". It matches the Rfam family "Bacterial small subunit ribosomal RNA", at positions 355 to 825 of the family's 1533-position model. The record is from RNAcentral.
UCGGGAAUUUUGGGCAAUGGGGGAAACCCUGACCCAGCAACGCCGCGUGAAGGAUGAAGUAUUUCGGUAUGUAAACUUCGAAAGAAUAGGAAGAAUAAAUGACGGUACUAUUUAUAAGGUCCGGCUAACUACGUGCCAGCAGCCGCGGUAAUACGUAGGGACCAAGCGUUGUUCGGAUUUACUGGGCGUAAAGGGCGCGUAGGCGGCAUGACAAGUCACUUGUGAAAUCUCUGGGCUUAACCCAGAACGGCCAAGUGAUACUGUCGCGCUAGAGUGCAGAAGGGGCAAUCGGAAUUCUUGGUGUAGCGGUGAAAUGCGUAGAUAUCAAGAGGAACACCUGAGGCGAAGGCGGGUUGCUGGGCUGAUACUGACGCUGAAGCGCGAAAGCUAGGGUAGCAAACGGGAUUAGAUACCCAAGUAGUCCCUGAGCGGGCUGGCAAGGCGCAU